This 434-nucleotide ribosomal RNA is filed under the name uncultured Clostridium sp. RNAcentral describes it as "partial 16S ribosomal RNA". It matches the Rfam family "Bacterial small subunit ribosomal RNA", at positions 341 to 792 of the family's 1533-position model. The record is from RNAcentral. Lineage: Bacteria; Bacillati; Bacillota; Clostridia; Eubacteriales; Clostridiaceae.
ACGGAAGGCAGCAGUGGGGAAUAUUGCACAAUGGGGGAAACCCUGAUGCAGCGACGCCGCGUGAGUGAAGAAGUAUUUCGGUAUGUAAAGCUCUAUCAGCAGGGAAGAAAAUGACGGUACCUGACUAAGAAGCCCCGGCUAACUACGUGCCAGCAGCCGCGGUAAUACGUAGGGGGCAAGCGUUAUCCGGAUUUACUGGGUGUAAAGGGAGCGCAGACGGCAUGGCAAGCCAGAUGUGAAAGGCAGGGGCUCAACUCCUGGACUGCAUUUGGAACUGUCAAGCUAGAGUAUCGGAGAGGUAAGUGGAAUUCCUAGUGUAGCGGUGAAAUGCGUAGAUAUUAGGAGGAACACCAGUGGCGAAGGCGGCUUACUGGACGAUAACUGACGUUGAGGCUCGAAAGCGUGGGGAGCAAACAGGAUUAGAUACCCUGGUA